AAAACUGCUGUGAAAAGAUGAGUAGUGGCACGCGGUAUUCUCAGAGAGCCGGUGGGGGGUGCAAACCGGUAAUACUAACGCUGCGAACAUGGUCUUUGAGCUUUACCGGCACUGAGCCCAUAUGCUAAGUGCCGGUGGGUGCGCCCAUUAUCGCGUCGGAGUAUCAUCCCGGUUGUACUAAGGUUACAAUUUGGAUCGCACUCGGUGAGGCAUGACGUGUGAGCGUCAUGCGAAUUUAGGUGGUACCGCGUUUGCCCACAGCAAGACGUCCUUGAA
This 276-nucleotide non-coding RNA is filed under the name Schleiferilactobacillus perolens. RNAcentral's name for it is "Lactobacillus perolens T-box sequence". It matches the Rfam family "T-box leader". Rfam says of the family: Uncharged tRNA acts as the effector for transcription antitermination of genes in the T-box leader family. T-boxes are found upstream of many aminoacyl-tRNA synthetase genes and some amino acid biosynthetic genes usually in Gram-positive bacteria. Lineage: Bacteria; Bacillati; Bacillota; Bacilli; Lactobacillales; Lactobacillaceae. The record is from RNAcentral.